UGUUAUGAACAAGGUGGAUCUCAGUCAU
This 28-nucleotide non-coding RNA is filed under the name Homo sapiens (human). Lineage: Eukaryota; Metazoa; Chordata; Mammalia; Primates; Hominidae. The record is from RNAcentral.